This 1765-nucleotide long non-coding RNA is filed under the name Cotesia glomerata. Its description in RNAcentral is "uncharacterized LOC123268749, transcript variant X2". The record is from RNAcentral. Lineage: Eukaryota; Metazoa; Arthropoda; Insecta; Hymenoptera; Braconidae.
AGUACGAGCAUAGUGCAGAGGUCUUGCUUUCCCUCUCAUUACAUUCCAAGAUUGCACUGCAAAUAAGCGAUUCCUUCACCUCUUUAUAAGCUGCAAUCACCUUGAAAGAGGAAUAGGGUUAAAAUCCGAUCAAGAGUCAGUGAUCUUCAUGGAGUAUCCUUCAGUCUCAAUGGGUCCGACCUUUGGAUCCACGGUCAACUUGUUUGUUUUAAUUAUUCCAGAUUAAUGAUAAUAAUUCCAGCCUUGCUAAACUUCCGUCAAUUUCACGGAGAACUAGAAAAAUUAUUGUUUUAUUUAUAUUAUUUAUCGCCUAUUCCUUGGACUUGAAACUCUAUCAAUUAAAAAUGAAGAGAUGAAAAGGUUAUCGGUUGAUAUAGUUAAUGUCGGGAUUUUAACGCUCCAGAUUUCUCAACGGAAUGCAGGUAUAGUAGUGGAAACGUUUCAAGGAAAUCCAGUGAAAGUAGCUUUUCGUUUUUGCGAGUAGAUCCAAAAAAAACUGGAAAUCCUGAUAAGAACAAUGGAAAAACCUAAUUGAAUAAUUAUAUUAUCAGUCCUUGAUAAGUGAGCAAAGUUUUAAUUAAACCGGAGGUUUCUGAGCUCCGAAAAUCAAGUUCAAAGAUUCUCUUACUCACACACAGUCACAUGGAUACUUAGGCGGAGCAAAAAAGGCGUGUAAAAUUGCAUUAUCAGCAAUGAUACUAUUGCAAUUGGAUGUUAUUAUCAUGCGAUAAUAAGCGAUGACAUUGAUAUGAUGUUUCCGGAAAGUUUGCUGUUUUUUGUUAUGCAAAUUGAGCUGCAGAUUGACGGGUCGAGGUGGGUGCGUCGAGAGCUAGGCUUGAAGAAUGGCAGGGCAUCCGGUUUCAUGUCGCGGGCACGUGAUGGAUCGCAGAUAAAUGAAGAAUAUUGACUGGAAAUAUUAUAGAUAUUAAAAAGGCAGUACCCGUGACGUUUCCACCUCUGAUAUUUCUUCACCCGUUUAAAUUCAAUCGCUCUCGACAGAUUCGACAGAUCGAGGAACUCAGAGGUUACAUCUGGUAACGAGUGUGUGCGGGAAUGGAAAAAGAGGGAAGAAAGUGAGAAAACAGCGGAGCUAGCAAGAUUGCCUCUUUUCUAAUUUAUAACUACCCGGGUACCGCCUUAACAAUUUACGCUUCUCUAUACACCGUUUUUAUACUCUGGCAGUAUACCGAGAGCCCAUCCGAGGAAACGACAAUCCAACACACGAGGAACAGAGCCUCGAAACACCAAAUUGGCUUCUACUCCUAUCCUACAAUACAAUAAGUAGCCUUUUAAACCUUUUUUAUGUCUUAGACACAUUUAUUCCUUCCCUUUACUCUCUUUGUUCACUCACCAACUCACCUAACCUAGAAAUUUCAGGUCUCGAGUCAAGCCGGAUUAAGACUCGCUGGUAUUUAUUUAAUUUGAUAACCCGCCGUGAGGUUUACGCCGAGGACCUUAACUCGAGAUAUUAUCUCCGGUUAUCCUGAUGGGAGACGGGAGUUCUCUUCUGAAGAAGAAGAAGAAGAACAAGAAGAAGAAGAAAAAGCUAAGUUGUAACCGAUCUUCAUAAAAUGUUUCUGCUUUUAAGAUUCAGAUAACCUCCAAGUUACAACCCGGCUUUCCAUCUCCGUCCGAGAGAUUAAUUAAUGAUGCAAUUCUUACCAAAGGAUCUUAAGGAGAUCCAACUACUCUCUUAGUGUAAAUAAUGGAUAUAAAAAAAUAAUACGCAGAUAUACUUUUUUCUUAAAAUUAAUUAAUAUUUUUG